RNAcentral lists this ribosomal RNA (497 nucleotides) under uncultured bacterium. RNAcentral's name for it is "partial 16S ribosomal RNA". It matches the Rfam family "Bacterial small subunit ribosomal RNA", at positions 28 to 507 of the family's 1533-position model. The record is from RNAcentral.
GAUGAACGCUGGCGGCGUGCCUAAUACAUGCGAGUCGAGCGAACGGACGAGAAGCUUGCUUCUCUGAUGUUAGCGGCGGACGGGUGAGUAACACGUGGAUAACCUACCUAUAAGACUGGGAUAACUUCGGGAAACCGGAGCUAAUACCGGAUAAUAUUUUGAACCGCAUGGUUCAAAAGUGAAGGACGGCCUUGCUGUCACUUAUAGAUGGAUCCGCGCUGCAUUAGCUAGUUGGUAAGGUAACGGCUUACCAAGGCAACGAUGCAUAGCCGACCUGAGAGGGUGAUCGGCCACACUGGAACUGAGACACGGUCCAGACUCCUACGGGAGGCAGCAGUAGGGAAUCUUCCGCAAUGGGCGAAAGCCUGACGGAGCAACGCCGCGUGAGUGAUGAAGGUCUUCGGAUCGUAAAACUCUGUUAUUAGGGAAGAACAUAUGUGUAAGUAACUGUGCACAUCUUGACGGUACCUAAUCAGAAAGCCACGGCUAACUACGUG